UACGGAGGGUGCAAGCGUUGUCCGGAAUCACUGGGCGUAAAGGGCGCGUAGGCGGCUCAUGAAGGCUGUGGUGAAAGUCCGGGGCUCAACCUCGGAUCGGCCGUGGCGACUCGUGGGCUGGAGCACUGUAGAGGCGGGUGGAAUUCCGGGUGUAGCGGUGGAAUGCGUAGAGAUCCGGAAGAACACCGGUGGCGAAGGCGGCGACCUGGUCCGACACUGACGCUGAGGCGCGAAAGCGUGGGGAGCAAACAGG
This 253-nucleotide ribosomal RNA is filed under the name uncultured bacterium. RNAcentral's name for it is "partial 16S ribosomal RNA". It matches the Rfam family "Bacterial small subunit ribosomal RNA", at positions 524 to 776 of the family's 1533-position model. The record is from RNAcentral.